ACCAAGGGUCUGAGAGUAACGCAAUUUUAAUUCUCUGUAUGUAUGUGCUUGUACAUGUGGAAAAAUUGACAAUCAAGCAGACUUUGACUUGAUUUUGAAUAAAACUCCAUUAAAAGUUAUC
Sinocyclocheilus grahami is the source of this 121-nucleotide long non-coding RNA. RefSeq lists it as uncharacterized. Lineage: Eukaryota; Metazoa; Chordata; Actinopteri; Cypriniformes; Cyprinidae. The transcript has 3 exons. The record is from RefSeq and is a predicted model, not a curated record.